This 810-nucleotide ribosomal RNA is filed under the name uncultured bacterium. RNAcentral's name for it is "bacterial SSU rRNA". It matches the Rfam family "Bacterial small subunit ribosomal RNA", at positions 60 to 883 of the family's 1533-position model. The record is from RNAcentral.
AGUCGAACGAGAGAUGAAGAGCUUGCUCUUCAAAUCGAGUGGCGAACGGGUGAGUAACGCGUGAGGAACCUGCCUCAAAGAGGGGGACAACAGUUGGAAACGACUGCUAAUACCGCAUAAGCCCACGGCUCGGCAUCGAGCAGGGGGAAAAGGAGCAAUCCGCUUUGAGAUGGCCUCGCGUCCGAUUAGCUAGUUGGUGAGGUAACGGCCCACCAAGGCGACGAUCGGUAGCCGGACUGAGAGGUUGAACGGCCACAUUGGGACUGAGACACGGCCCAGACUCCUACGGGAGGCAGCAGUGGGGAAUAUUGCACAAUGGGGGAAACCCUGAUGCAGCGACGCCGCGUGGAGGAAGAAGGUCUUCGGAUUGUAAACUCCUGUUGUUGAGGAAGAUAAUGACGGUACUCAACAAGGAAGUGACGGCUAACUACGUGCCAGCAGCCGCGGUAAAACGUAGGUCACAAGCGUUGUCCGGAAUUACUGGGUGUAAAGGGAGCGCAGGCGGGAGAACAAGUUGGAAGUGAAAUCCAUGGGCUCAACCCAUGAACUGCUUUCAAAACUGUUUUUCUUGAGUAGUGCAGAGGUAGGCGGAAUUCCCGGUGUAGCGGUGGAAUGCGUAGAUAUCGGGAGGAACACCAGUGGCGAAGGCGGCCUACUGGGCACCAACUGACGCUGAGGCUCGAAAGUGUGGGUAGCAAACAGGAUUAGAUACCCUGGUAGUCCACACCGUAAACGAUGAUUACUAGGUGUUGGAGGAUUGACCCCUUCAGUGCCGCAGUUAACACAAUAAGUAAUCCACCUGGGGAGUAC